UGGUUCACCCCUCGUGCUUCUUGAUGAAAGUGUUUUUUUCUUUUCGGACAUCAUGACGCAUAUUUUAGUGAAAUGCUUUAACGACGAUAAGUGGGACGUUUAUCCGUUGAAGUGGUUGGCUCACCCAGCUACUAGUCUUCGACUGAUGUGCGAGCCUGGUUGUUUUGAUGAGUUGCGCGUCAGAGGUCAUGAUGUCUGUUGGAGAGAAGGCACCCCGAAACAGUCGCAGCCGCACUUCUGAAGAUAAGUCACGCAUGCAGCACAUUCCCAGGUGCUAAAGUGUUCUACGCCAAAAGCACCUUGGCGUCGUGCAAGAGACACCCGUUGAUAUGUGGCUGAUUCACUAGCAAGCUCUCAUCUCUGUUGUUUUAAUAGCGGUGAAAGACGUGUGAUAAAGCUUGUAUAUAUUUACGUGAA
Dermacentor andersoni is the source of this 417-nucleotide long non-coding RNA. RefSeq lists it as uncharacterized. The record is from RefSeq and is a predicted model, not a curated record. Lineage: Eukaryota; Metazoa; Arthropoda; Arachnida; Ixodida; Ixodidae.